Long non-coding RNA from Dermochelys coriacea (leatherback sea turtle), 2044 nucleotides. RefSeq lists it as uncharacterized. The record is from RefSeq and is a predicted model, not a curated record. NCBI's taxonomy places the organism in Eukaryota, Metazoa, Chordata, Testudines, Dermochelyidae. The transcript is spliced from 3 exons.
CUGAAUACAGGCCAAUUCCAGUUUCUGGAGCCGGGGGUGUGAUGGGAGAAAGGAGCUGCUGUAUCCAUAGGUGCAAGAAGUCUGGGUGUGGAGGGUGCUGCAGCACCGCCAGCUAUAGAUUGCUAUCAGCAUGGAGGCUUCCCCACUUUCAGGCAUGGAAUCAACACAGCUAAGAUGCUCCUUAAGCUUCACCAGAAGGUCUCACCUAGAAGUGAAAUUCCGCUUGAAGUGCUGCUCCACCAGUUGGCUACCAACCACAGACACCCACACUGGCUUUACAAGCACUCCCGCGCUCAUUCUCCCACGCUCCAUGCAGCUUAGAGUUGCUUCCAGCUGAGAUGAGUUUGGCUCAAGCAGGAGGAGGUCUCGUUUUGGUUCAACCCGCAGAGCCCCAAUUCCGGUCUCAGCUGCCGUAGGCCACGCAUGUGGGUUAGGACUUGGACGAGGGGUUGCCUGCCCCAGUGUCUCGCUACAAGCCAGCGAGAAGCAAUUUCCCAUCUUGCUGUCACCAAAUAUCAAUGUGGAAAGAGCAUCAAGGCGUUGCCUAAAAAUGGGACUGGAUGUUUUCACACAUGCCGGCAGAAGCGCAAGUGCAGCUCCUACAGACAUCAGCCAGGUGACACAGGUGUAAGCAGUGUCAAGGGCUUUCCCUUCGCCCUUUCCUUGCUUCUUGACACGCAGCCAGAAAGCAGAAGACCAGAUGUUUGAAGUGCAGGCAAUGCGAUGUUUAUUGGGAUUAAUCCCAGCGAGCAUAUCCACAGCUCUGUAUGCUGCAGAGCCUUUUCCCUUUCCUCCUCCGUAGCAGGCCCAGAUUUACCUGCAAUGCAUGCCCCUAGUGCCACCCCUUACUAUUCAUGGUCCUAUUCUGUUCUGGAGGGUCUUGAGUCUGGGGCCUUCGGUACCAUCUCUUUUGUAUCUCACAGGAGCGGUAGGGAAUGAGGGUAUUUACGGGCAGGGAUACCUUUUCUCUGGCUUGUGGUUGUUUCUUAUGCCUUUUCCCCUGCCCCCAUCCUCGCCCCCUCUUGACUGGUUGCUUGACCUUGUCUUGAGAUAGGAGUCGAGGUAGUCUUCAAGUGCACACUCAUACAUUACGCUCCCACCAUACCACGUAACACACGAGCUCUAUCUCUUUUUAUCCCAUCUGGUUGUGGCCAGAUGUAAUACACAGUGUCAUUGCUCACACAUACAAGUGAGAAUAGACAAAUAUGUAAAGUCAAAUGGGCAAACAAAACCCAAAAUUCUAUCUCAGGCCAAUCUACAGACCUGACUGCUACAUUAUCAUCACUAGCACUCCAAAGAAGCGGGAGCUGAAUUAGGCUCAUUGGCUGCAGGUUAAUAUAUGUUGUUAGCGCAGCUGAGAAUCAGGGCAAACCUGGGCUAAGCACUAGUUGUGUCUGUGGAAGACGCUUGAUUCUUCACGUCUUCUUGGGCUGUUAUUUAUACCUGUGAAGUGGGGUGCUGAAAUGCUGCUGUUCUGAGAUGGGGAGCAGGGGCCUCAGGUGGUUACUGGAUGUAGGUUGGGGCAUCUGGACAGACAGAUGGAUAGCAAAUUGUGAGCACCACCUUGCCUCCAGGGAACUGGAUUAGCUGACCUCUCAAGGACCUUUCUAGACAUCCGCUUCUAUGAUUGAGAAGGGAUCGGCCUGUGGCAGUAAUUUGAGAUCUGAAUGUCAAGCCACUGCAAAGUUUCGUGGUGUUUGGGUCAGGCCUACUCACUUCUCAAGCCACCCCCCAGUGGCUGGCUCAGAGCCAGUGCCAGAAAACCAACCAAGCCCCAGAGCACAGGAUGGGGAGACCACGAACCAGACAGAGCUAAAACAGCAGCAUGAAAGAUGAAGUGGUUAGGAAAACAGAAGGGUUUUGUUUUGUACAGCUGGGCAAAGCUUCUGAGCUUUGCAGUGUCUGUGCCAGCUGCUACUCUGAGAUCCCUCUGAGUCUGCGCAGUUCUGGAGCGACUCUGCUGACGUCAUUGGCACCUACUUCUCAGGGAUAUUAGGAGGAACUGUCUGGGAAUAAGUGCUUUGAACACAUAGGGCCAAACCCU